RNAcentral lists this long non-coding RNA (70 nucleotides) under Ovis aries (sheep). RNAcentral describes it as "lncRNA (ENSOARG00000026597.1)". Lineage: Eukaryota; Metazoa; Chordata; Mammalia; Artiodactyla; Bovidae. The record is from RNAcentral.
AUAUGAAAUGUUCUUCCCUGGAGACUUUCACUUUAGUGACAUCCCUUGUUGGAAAUCAAAGAGUUUGUCC